Molecule: ribosomal RNA, 427 nt
Filed under: uncultured bacterium
Lineage: Bacteria
Description: partial 16S ribosomal RNA
Rfam family: Bacterial small subunit ribosomal RNA
Source: RNAcentral
UGGGGAAUAUUGGACAAUGGGCGAAAGCCUGAUCCAGCCAUGCCGCGUGUGUGAAGAAGGUCUUCGGAUUGUAAAGCACUUUAAGUUGGGAGGAAGGGUUGUAGAUUAAUACUCUGCAAUUUUGACGUUACCGACAGAAUAAGCACCGGCUAACUCUGUGCCAGCAGCCGCGGUAAUACAGAGGGUGCAAGCGUUAAUCGGAAUUACUGGGCGUAAAGCGCGCGUAGGGGGUUAGUUAAGUUGGAUGUGAAAUCCCCGGGCUCAACCUGGGAACUGCAUUCAAAACUGACUGACUAGAGUAUGGUAGAGGGUGGUGGAAUUUCCUGUGUAGCGGUGAAAUGCGUAGAUAUAGGAAGGAACACCAGUGGCGAAGGCGACCACCUGGACUGAUACUGACACUGAGGUGCGAAAGCGUGGGGAGCAAACA